UUUAAUUCAUACAUCUUAUUUAAUUUCUGUUGUUGAUUUAUUUAUUUUUAUUUGAUGUUAAGAUUAAGGGGGAUUAGCUCCUUGUUCUAGCUUUUAUAAUUGUCUGAGUUUAAUUUAGUUUUGUGGAUUUUAUGGUGAUUUUCUAUUUGAUUAUGUUAAAAUUUUAUUUGUUCUUUUUUUAAUUUUUUUGUUAUUUAAGUUAUUUAUUGAAAUGUUUUCUUUACUUUGGUUUGUAUAGUAAUUAUUGUGUAAUUAGUAAAUUUUAUUGGUUGUUUUGUGAGAGAUGGUAGGUGUUAAUUGCUUUUGAGGAAUUCGGCAAAGUUCUAUGUCCGCCUGUUUAACAAAAACAUCUUUUCUUGUUAGUUUUUGAAGUAUGGCCUGCCCACUGACUUAGAGUUGAAGGGCCGCGGUAUUUUGACCGUGCAAAGGUAGCAUAAUCAUUAGUUCUUUAAUUGUGAUCUGGUAUGAAUGGCUUGACGAGACAUAAGCUGUCUUAGAGGUAUUGGUUUAUUGAAUUUGGUUUUUGAGUUAAAAUUCUUAAAUGUUUUUAUGGGACGAGAAGACCCUAUAGAGUUUGACAAUUUUCCUAUUUAUUCGUUGUUUGUAUUUAUUUACAUUGAGUGGGAGUGAAUUGUUUUGUUGGGGUGAUGGGAGGAAUAUUAUUUAACUCCUCUUUGUUUUUAUAUAUUUAU
Molecule: ribosomal RNA, 692 nt
Filed under: Nasutitermes corniger
Lineage: Eukaryota; Metazoa; Arthropoda; Insecta; Blattodea; Termitidae
Description: partial 16S ribosomal RNA
Rfam family: Archaeal large subunit ribosomal RNA (bases 288-541)
Source: RNAcentral